Molecule: transfer RNA, 75 nt
Filed under: Candidatus Bathyarchaeota archaeon
Lineage: Archaea; Thermoproteati; Candidatus Bathyarchaeota
Also listed under: 1 other name
Description: tRNA-Arg
Rfam family: tRNA
About the family: Transfer RNA (tRNA) molecules are approximately 80 nucleotides in length.
Source: RNAcentral
GGGCCCGUAGCUCAGUUUGGAUAGAGCGUUGGCCUGCGGAGCCAAAGGUCCUGGGUUCAAAUCCCAGCGGGCCCG